RNAcentral lists this ribosomal RNA (450 nucleotides) under uncultured Alphaproteobacteria bacterium. Its description in RNAcentral is "bacterial SSU rRNA". It matches the Rfam family "Bacterial small subunit ribosomal RNA", at positions 400 to 868 of the family's 1533-position model. The record is from RNAcentral. Lineage: Bacteria; Pseudomonadati; Pseudomonadota; Alphaproteobacteria.
CGUGAGUGAUGAAGCCCUAGGGUUGUAAAGCUCUUUUACCCGGGAAGAUAAUGACUGUACCGGGAGAAUAAGCCCCGGCUAACUCCGUGCCAGCAGCCGCGGUAAUACGGAGGGGGCUAGCGUUGUUCGGAAUUACUGGGCGUAAAGCGCACGUAGGCGGCUUUGUAAGUCAGAGGUGAAAGCCUGGAGCUCAACUCCAGAACUGCCUUUGAGACUGCAUCGCUUGAAUCCGGGAGAGGUCAGUGGAAUUCCGAGUGUAGAGGUGAAAUUCGUAGAUAUUCGGAAGAACACCAGUGGCGAAGGCGGCUGACUGGACUGGUAUUGACGCUGAGGUGCGAAAGCGUGGGGAGCAAACAGGAUUAGAUACCCUGAUAGUCCACGCCGUAAACGAUGAUAACUAGCUGUCCGGGCACUUGGUGCUUGGGUGGCGCAGCUAACGCAUUAAGUUAU